This is a non-coding RNA of Sus scrofa (pig), 291 nucleotides long. It matches the Rfam family "7SK RNA". Rfam says of the family: 7SK was discovered as an abundant small nuclear RNA in the mid-70s but a possible function has only recently been suggested. The record is from Rfam. Lineage: Eukaryota; Metazoa; Chordata; Mammalia; Artiodactyla; Suidae.
UGAUGUGAGGGCAAUCUGGCUACAGCAUCUGUCACCCCAUUGAUUGCUAGCAUUGAUCUGAUCUGGCUGGCCAGGCAGGUGUCCCCUUCCUCCCUCGUCACUCCACACGCUUCCUUCCCAAGCUGCACACUGGGUCGAAGAGGACGAAAUUCCCUCAGAGAGGAGGACUGAUCUUCCUAAGGGCAGAGCUGUGUUCCCCUGCUAGAACCUCUAAACAAGUUCUUAGGUUAUGCAUCUCUGGCAGGAAUAUCACAAAAGUGAAGCUGCAUUCUUCUCAUUGCAUUCUUCGGG